AGUGAACGCUGGCGGCAGGCCUAACACAUGCAAGUCGAGCGGCAGCGCGUCCGACCACCCUCGGGUGGUCGGAUGGCGGCGAGCGGCGGACGGGUGAGGAAUGCAUCGGAACCCUGCCUCGUUGUGGGGGAUAACGUAGGGAAACUUACGCUAAUACCGCAUACGACCUACGGGUGAAAGUGGGGGACCUUCGGGCCUCACGCGAUGAGAUGAGCCGAUGCCGGAUUAGCUAGUUGGCGGGGUAAAGGCCCACCAAGGCGACGAUCCGUAGCUGGUCUGAGAGGAUGAUCAGCCACACUGGAACUGAGACACGGUCCAGACUCCUACGGGAGGCAGCAGUGGGGAAUAUUGGACAAUGGGGGCAACCCUGAUCCAGCCAUGCCGCGUGUGUGAAG
This 395-nucleotide ribosomal RNA is filed under the name uncultured bacterium. RNAcentral describes it as "bacterial SSU rRNA". It matches the Rfam family "Bacterial small subunit ribosomal RNA", at positions 30 to 410 of the family's 1533-position model. The record is from RNAcentral.